ACGUAGGUGGCAAGCGUUGUCCGGAAUGAUUGGGCGUAAAGAGCGCGUAGGUGGCUUGUUAAGUCUGAUGUGAAAGCCCUGCGCUUAACGCGAGGCUUGCUUUGGAAACUGUCGGGCUUGAGUGCAGGAGAGGUAAGUGGAAUUCCCGGUGUAGCGGUGAAAUGCGUAGAUAUCAGGAGGAACACCAGUGGCGAAGGCGGCUUACUGGACUGGAACUGACGCUGAGGCGCGAAAGUGUGGGGAGCAAACAG
RNAcentral lists this ribosomal RNA (251 nucleotides) under uncultured prokaryote. Its description in RNAcentral is "partial 16S rRNA". It matches the Rfam family "Bacterial small subunit ribosomal RNA", at positions 525 to 775 of the family's 1533-position model. The record is from RNAcentral.